AACGAACGCUGGCGGCAUGCCUAACACAUGCAAGUCGAACGAGACCUUCGGGUCUAGUGGCGCACGGGUGCGUAACGCGUGGGAACCUGCCCUUAGGUUCGGAAUAACUCCCCGAAAGGGGUGCUAAUACCGGAUAAUGUCUUCGGACCAAAGAUUUAUCGCCUUUGGAUGGGCCCGCGUUGGAUUAGCUAGUUGGUAGGGUAAAAGCCUACCAAGGCGACGAUCCAUAGCUGGUCUGAGAGGAUGAUCAGCCACACUGGGACUGAGACACGGCCCAGACUCCUACGGGAGGCAGCAGUGGGGAAUAUUGGACAAGGGGCGAAAGCCUGAUCCAGCAAUGCCGCGUGAGUGAUGAAGGCCUUAGGGUUGUAAAGCUCUUUUACCCGGGAUGAUAAUGACAGUACCGGGAGAAUAAGCUCCGGCUAACUCCG
Molecule: ribosomal RNA, 431 nt
Filed under: uncultured bacterium
Lineage: Bacteria
Description: partial 16S ribosomal RNA
Rfam family: Bacterial small subunit ribosomal RNA
Source: RNAcentral